RNAcentral lists this ribosomal RNA (442 nucleotides) under uncultured bacterium. Its description in RNAcentral is "partial 16S ribosomal RNA". It matches the Rfam family "Bacterial small subunit ribosomal RNA", at positions 338 to 795 of the family's 1533-position model. The record is from RNAcentral.
CCUACGGGAGGCAGCAGUAGGGAAUCUUGCACAAUGGGCGAAAGCCUGAAGGAGCAACGCCGCGUGCAGGAUGAAGGCCUUCGGGUUGUAAACUGCUUUUAUAAGCGAGAAAUAUGAUGGUAACUUAUGAAUAAGGAUCGGCUAACUACGUGCCAGCAGCCGCGGUCAUACGUAGGAUCCGAGCAUUAUCCGGAGUGACUGGGUGUAAAGAGUUGCGUAGGUGGCAUAAUAAGUAGCGAGUGAAAUCUGGUGGCUCAACCAUUCAGACUAUUAGUUAAACUGUUAAGCUCGAGAGCGUUAGAGGUAACUGGAAUUUCUAGUGUAGUGGUGAAAUCCGUAGAUAUUAGAAAGAACACCGAUAGCGUAGGCAGGUUACUGGGACGGUUCUGACACUAAGGCACGAAAGCGUAGGGAGCAAACGGGAUUAGAUACCCUAGUAGUC